This 497-nucleotide ribosomal RNA is filed under the name uncultured bacterium. Its description in RNAcentral is "partial 16S ribosomal RNA". It matches the Rfam family "Bacterial small subunit ribosomal RNA", at positions 28 to 507 of the family's 1533-position model. The record is from RNAcentral.
GAUGAACGCUGGCGGCGUGCCUAAUACAUGCCAGUAGAACGCUGAAGGAAGGAGCUUGCUCUUUCCGGAUGAGUUGCGAACGGGUGAGUAACGCGUAGGUAACCUGCCUGGUAGCGGGGGAUAACUAUUGGAAACGAUAGCUAAUACCGCAUAACAGUAGAUGUUGCAUGAUAUCUACUUAAAAGGUGCAAUUGCACCACUACCAGAUGGACCUGCGUUGUAUUAGCUAGUUGGUGAGGUAACGGCUCACCAAGGCGACGAUACAUAGCCGACCUGAGAGGGUGAUCGGCCACACUGGGACUGGGACACGGCCCAGACUCCUACGGGAGGCAGCAGUAGGGAAUCUUCGGCAAUGGACGGAAGUCUGACCGAGCAACGCCGCGUGAGUGAAGAAGGUUUUCGGAUCGUAAAGCUCUGUUGUAAGAGAAGAACGAGUGUGAGAGUGGAAAGUUCACACUGUGACGGUAUCUUACCAGAAAGGGACGGCUAACUACGUG